This 274-nucleotide ribosomal RNA is filed under the name uncultured bacterium. RNAcentral's name for it is "partial 16S ribosomal RNA". It matches the Rfam family "Bacterial small subunit ribosomal RNA", at positions 523 to 796 of the family's 1533-position model. The record is from RNAcentral.
AUACGGAGGGUGCAAGCGUUAAUCGGAUUUACUGGGCGUAAAGCGCGCGUAGGCGGUUUGGUAAGUCGGAUGCGAAAUCCCAGGGCUCAACCUUGGAACUGCAUUCGAUACUGCCUCACUAGAGUAUGGUAGAGGGAAGUGGAAUUCCGGGUGUAGCGGUGAAAUGCGUAGAUAUCCGGAGGAACAUCAGUGGCGAAGGCGACUUCCUGGCCCGACACUGACGCUGAGACGCGAAAGCGUGGGUAGCAAACAGGAUUAGAUACCCCUGUAGUCC